GAGUUUGAUCCUGGCUCAGAUUGAACGCUGGCGGCAUGCCUUACACAUGCAAGUCGAACGGCAGCACGGGAGCUUGCUCCUGGUGGCGAGUGGCGAACGGGUGAGUAAUGCAUCGGAACGUAUCCUGGAGUGGGGGAUAACGUAGCGAAAGUUACGCUAAUACCGCAUAUUCUGUGAGCAGGAAAGCGGGGGACCUUCGGGGCCUCGCGCUCUUGGAGCGGCCGAUGUCGGAUUAGCUAGUUGGUGAGGUAAAGGCUCACCAAGGCGACGAUCCGUAGCAGGUCUGAGAGGAUGAUCUGCCACACUGGAACUGAGACACGGUCCAGACGUCCUACGGGAGGCAGGCAGUGGGGAAUUUUGGACAAUGGGGGCAACCCGUGAUCCAGCCAUGCCGCGUGAGUGAAGAAGGCCUCGGUUGUAAG
This 422-nucleotide ribosomal RNA is filed under the name bacterium enrichment culture clone ALO1_GLFRUDD03F674P. RNAcentral describes it as "bacterial SSU rRNA". It matches the Rfam family "Bacterial small subunit ribosomal RNA", at positions 9 to 429 of the family's 1533-position model. The record is from RNAcentral.